AAUGAACGCUGGCGGCGUGGAUUAGGCAUGCAAGUCGAACGCGAAAGUUCCCUUCGGGGAGCGAGUAGAGUGGCGAAAGGGUGAGUAAUGCUUGGAUGACCUGCCCUCGAGACGGGGACAACAGUUCGAAAGGACUGCUAAUACCCGAUAAGUCCGGUUUAGAUGCGUCUAGAUCGGUAAAUGGUGCUUCCGCUCGAGGAGGGGUUCAAGUCCUAUCAGCUUGUUGGUGAGGUAACGGCUCACCAAGGCGAUGACGGGUAGCCGGACUGAGAGGUUGGCCGGGCCACAUGGGGAACUGAGACACUGUCCUGACUCCUACGGGAGGCUGCAGUCGAGAAUCUUCUGCAAUGGGCGAAAGCCUGACAGAGCGACGCCGCGUGGAGGAUGAAGGCCCUCGGGUCGUAAAACUCCUGUCACGAUGUUAUGAAACGCACAGGUCUACCUGUGCGCUGACAAAAGCAUGAGAGGAAGUCACGGCUAACUUCGUAG
RNAcentral lists this ribosomal RNA (489 nucleotides) under uncultured bacterium. RNAcentral's name for it is "bacterial SSU rRNA". It matches the Rfam family "Bacterial small subunit ribosomal RNA", at positions 29 to 508 of the family's 1533-position model. The record is from RNAcentral.